UGCCACAGCCAUAUCACCCUGCAGCCCAAGACUGGUUGCCCACUGAAGCUAAGCAGGGUUGAGCCUGGUCAGUACCUGGAUGGGAGACCUCCUGGGAAAACUAGGUUGCUGCUGGAA
Ribosomal RNA from Sinocyclocheilus anshuiensis, 117 nucleotides. The record is from Ensembl. NCBI's taxonomy places the organism in Eukaryota, Metazoa, Chordata, Actinopteri, Cypriniformes, Cyprinidae.